UACGAAGGGUGCAAGCGUUACUCGGAAUUACUGGGCGUAAAGCGUGCGUAGGUGGUUUGUUAAGUCUGCUGUGAAAGCCCCGGGCUCAACCUGGGAAUGGCAAUGGAUACUGGCGGGCUAGAGUGUGUCAGAGGAUGGUGGAAUUCCCGGUGUAGCGGUGAAAUGCGUAGAUAUCAGGAGGAACACCGGUGGUGUAAACGGCUUUCUGGACCAUAACUGACGCUGAGGCACGAAAGCGUGGGUAGCAAACAGG
Molecule: ribosomal RNA, 253 nt
Filed under: uncultured bacterium
Lineage: Bacteria
Description: partial 16S ribosomal RNA
Rfam family: Bacterial small subunit ribosomal RNA
Source: RNAcentral